Molecule: ribosomal RNA, 1860 nt
Filed under: human gut metagenome
Description: bacterial LSU rRNA
Rfam family: Bacterial large subunit ribosomal RNA
Source: RNAcentral
CCGAACCGACUAGUGUUGCAAAAUUAGCGGAUGAGCUGUGGAUAGGGGUGAAAGGCUAAACAAAUCUGGAGAUAGCUGGUUCUCCCCGAAAACUAUUGAGGUAGUGCCUCGUGUAUGGCUCCAGGGGGUAGAGCACUGUUAUGGCUAGGGGGACAUGGCGUCUUACCAAACCAUGGCAAACUCCGAAUACUUGGAAGUCUGAGCACGGGAGACAGAGCACCGGGUGCUAACGUCCGGACUCAAAAGGGAAACAACCCAGACCGCCGGCUAAGGUCCCUAAUAUUGACUAAGUGGAAAACGAAGUGGGAAGGCUAAGACAGUCAGGAAGUUGGCUUAGAAGCAGCCAUCCUUCAAAGAAAGCGUAAUAGCUCACUGAUCGAGUCUUCCUGCGCGGAAGAUGUAACGGGGCUAAGUCAAUAACCGAAGCCGCGGAUUCGCAGCAAUGCGAGUGGUAGGGGAGCGUUCUGUAAGCCUGCGAAGGCGGAUCUGCGAGGACCGCUGGAGGUAUCAGAAGUGCGAAUGCUGACAUGAGUAACGUUAAAGCGGGUGAAAAGCCCGCUCGCCGCAAGCCCAAGGUUUCCUGCUCUACGUUCAUCGGAGCAGGGUGAGUCGGCCCCUAAGGUCAGGCUGAGAAGCGUAGCUGAUGGGAAGCUGGUUAAUAUUCCAGCACCGAUUUCAAGUGCGAAGGGGGGACGGAGUCCUGAAGGUCAUCCGGGUGUUGGAUAUCCCGGUUUACGAGCGUAGGAGGUUGACAGGCAAAUCCGUCAACGAAUCUCCAAGGCGAAGGAUCGAGGUUGAGAGAUCAACUGAAGUGACUGAAUGGGCUUCCAGGAAAAGCCUCUAAGCAUCAGCUUGGAAUUGACCGUACCGCAAACCGACACUGGUGGGCGAGCUGAAUAUGCUCAGGCGCUUGAGAGAACUCAGGAGAAGGAACUCGGCAAAUUGACACCGUAACUUCGGGAUAAGGUGUGCCUUUGUAGUGUGAAGGGAGAAACCCCCCGAGCAUGAAGAGGCCUCAGAGAAUCGGUGGCUGCAACUGUUUACUAAAAACACAGCACUCUGCAAAGAUGAAAGUCGACGUAUAGGGUGUGAUGCCUGCCCGGUGCUGGAAGAUUAAUUGAUGGGGUGCAAGCUCCUGAUCGAAGUCCCAGUAAACGGCGGCCGUAACUAUAACGGUCCUAAGGUAGCGAAAUUCCUUGUCGGGCAAGUUCCGACCUGCACGAAUGGCAUAAUGAUGGCCACACUGUCUCCUCCUGAGACUCAGUGAAGUUGAAAUGUUUGUGAUGAUGCAAUCUCCCCGCGGCUAGACGGAAAGACCCCAUGAACCUUUACUGCAGCUUUGCAUUGGACUUUGAACCGAUCUGUGUAGGAUAGGUGGGAGGCAGUGAAGCUAGGACGCCAGUCUUAGCGGAGCCAACCUUGAAAUACCACCCUGAUUUGUUUGAGGUUCUAACCUAGGAGCGUAAUCCGCUUCGGGGACCGUGCAUGGUAGGCAGUUUGACUGGGGCGGUCUCCUCCUAAAGGGUAACGGAGGAGUGCGAAGGUACGCUAGGUACGGUCGGAAAUCGUGCUGAUAGUGCAAUGGCAAAAGCGUGCUUGACUGCGAGACCGACAAGUCGAGCAGAUACGAAAGUAGGUCAUAGUGAUCCGGUGGCUCUGCAUGGAAGGGCCAUCGCUCAACGGAUAAAAGGUACUCUGGGGAUAACAGGCUGAUACCGCCCAAGAGUUCAUAUCGACGGCGGUGUUUGGCACCUCGAUGUCGGCUCAUCUCAUCCUGGGGCUGUAGCCGGUCCCAAGGGUAUGGCUGUUCGCCAUUUAAAGAGGUACGUGAGCUGGGUUUAAAACGUCGUGAGACAGUUU